UCCCGCCUGCCCUGUGACUUGUUUAACGGCCGCGGUAUUUUGACCGUGCGAAGGUAGCGUAAUCACUUGUCUUUUAAAUGAAGACCUGUAUGAAUGGCAUAACGAGGGCUAAGCUGUCUCCUUUUUCCAGUCAAUGAAAUUAAUCUUCCCGUGCAGAAGCGGGAAUCUAAACAUAAGACGAGAAGACCCUAUGGAGCUUCAGACUAAAGGCAGCUCACAUUAAAAUAACUGGACAAACAGAACAAAUCAAGUGACCCCUGCCCUAAUGUUUUUGGUUGGGGCGACCGCGGGGGAACAAAAAUCCCCCAUGUGGAAUAGGAAUUUUAAAACUAGAGCCACAGCUCUAACAAGCAGAAUUUCUGACCAACAAGACCCGGCAAAGCCGAUCAACGGACCGAGUUACCCUAGGGAUAACAGCGCAAUCCCCUUUUAGAGCCCAUAUCGACAAGGGGGUUUACGACCUCGAUGUUGGAUCAGGACAUCCUAAUGGUGCAGCCGCUAUUAAGGGUUCGUUUGUUCAACGAUUAAAGUCCUACGUGAUCUGAGUUCAGACCG
This 555-nucleotide ribosomal RNA is filed under the name Sicydium punctatum (spotted algae-eating goby). RNAcentral's name for it is "partial 16S ribosomal RNA". It matches the Rfam family "Bacterial large subunit ribosomal RNA", at positions 1853 to 2618 of the family's 2925-position model. Lineage: Eukaryota; Metazoa; Chordata; Actinopteri; Gobiiformes; Gobiidae. The record is from RNAcentral.